This 480-nucleotide ribosomal RNA is filed under the name uncultured Acidobacteriota bacterium. RNAcentral's name for it is "bacterial SSU rRNA". It matches the Rfam family "Bacterial small subunit ribosomal RNA", at positions 13 to 525 of the family's 1533-position model. The record is from RNAcentral. Lineage: Bacteria; Pseudomonadati; Acidobacteriota.
UUGAUCCUGGCUCAGAAUCAACGCUGGCGGCGCGCUUAACACAUGCAAGUCGCACGAGAAAGUGGAGCAAUCCAUGAGUACAGUGGCGUACGGGUGAGUUACACGUGGAUCAUCUACCUUUUAGUGGGGAAUACCCCCGGGAAACUGGGUAUAAUACCGCAUAAGCUCGUAAGAGGAAAGCAGCAAUGCGCUGAAAGAGUAGUCCGCGGCUGAUUAGCUAGUUGGUGAGGUAAUGGCUCACCAAGGCGAUGAUCGGUAGCCGGCCUGAGAGGGCACACGGCCACACUGGCACUGAAACAUGGGCCAGACUCCUACGGGAGGCAGCAGUGGGGAAUCUUGCACAAUGGAGUAAACUCUGAUGCAGCGACGCCGCGUGAGCGAUGAGGCCCUUCGGGGUGUUAAGCUCUUUCGACGGGAACGAUAAUGACGGUACCCGAAGAAGAAGCUGCUGCUAACUACGUGCCAGCAGCCGCGGUAAUU